CGUUUCACACUGCGUUUUUAUUCUUCUCCUCACUGGGCACAUGCGCAUUGCGUGUUCAUACUUCUUUUUCCGGUUCCUACUCAAAACUGUUUACAAAUCAUAACCAUCAACAGUGCGGAAGCCUGCGUCAUCAUCGUUCAACGUCCGUUUUCUAUGCUGGCAUGGGUUGGACUGUUUGAUAUGGAUCUGGUAGAAUCCAAUCAUGCGUGUGUGUGUGUGUGUUGAUUUGCUUACGUCCCCGUCAAUUUGCAGUUCGGCAAAACAGACUGAUAAAAUAUGCAUCAAAGUUGAAGAAGUGUGUACAGGAUUCGAUAUAUUCUACUAAUACCUUCGAACACGUCAGAUAAAAUAGUGUGUAGCCUAUCAAAAACACUGAACUGUCACGACUGGAAAAUCUUUGCACAAAAAUCGAUCUUGGCCAAAGCGAUAACUAAAACAAAGGGAAGAUAAGUCGUGUUGUUACUUUGUAUAACUUUGUGAGAGAUAUAACAUAGUGACCUCCCUUGCACUGCUAAAGCAUACGAAUGCCUAUUUCCCUUGUAAUUGCGGCGAGUUACUUGAAAGAGUAUUUAAUAUUAAAAGGGAGAACGAGAAACUGAUGGGAAUUUAUUUAUUUGCUUGUUUGUUUAUUUCUCCAUUUACUUUUGUAUUUAUUUUAUACUAUUAUUGAUGGACUCAGAAUGACUAACUCAAAGCAUAGAAUUUUAUUACUAAAAUCCCCUUUUUUUUCUUUCAGAUUUCUCGUUAGCGACUAUACGAAAGAUAUGAUCACACACAUACAUACAUUAUGCCGUAUGUGUGUGUGUGUGUGUGUAAUUCAAACCGUUUGAUUCGGAUUCCGUGCUACUUCUAGUUUCGAAGCCCGUAACAGAGUCUAUCUCCUCAACCUUGUAUGAGGAGACAGUCUCUGUUUGGGACUUCGAAGCUUGAAGAAGCACGGAAUCCGAAUCAAACGGUUUCGAAUAAUACAUGUAACUCCCAAUAAAUGUGUUGAGAGCCCUUUCUUUCGUUUGUCCACUCACUCACACACACACACACACAUACAUAUAUAUAUAUAUAUUAUCCGUAGAUUAUAUAUCCGAAAAAGAAGCAAAAUCUAUGAAUAUAUUUAUAGGAAGUUAAUUAUAUGGCCAGUCAUAGAAAGCACACACACAAACACACACAAGCGGAAGUCAAAAAUUAUUUGCACUUCCGCCAAAACUUUCUGCAAAGUUGUCCGCAUUGCCUUCAGACGUUCGCAUGUUGAAGGGUGGAACUCACGUGGUUACGUAACUGACGCUUGACCUACAUCGCUCCAGUUUUCAUUUUCGUAUUACAAAGUAAGCAAGGCCGCUCCUCUCGCAAUAUGCACCAAGGAAGAACAGAGGAUGAGUGGUUCGAUUUCUUUGGUCUGAAGGUGUGUCCGAGGCUGGAAUUUAUAGAAUGGCUUUCAAUACAAUACGCGAGAAGCGUUCUAUUGCAUUGUGGUGUGUAUUAGUGGCUCGCGAAGUUUUAAAAUGGGCAGACAAGCGUGAAGCACAGAAACACAAUUUGUGAUUUGAAGAAAAUUUAGCUGCUAUUUCUAGCAACUAUAACACAAUGCGAUAACAAAAAUAGCCUUCCUGACUUGCUACAGUUUCUUUCGUUUGUUCUCGGCAUUUGUCCUUAGAAGUUUUCGGGAGUCAACUGUCAUACUCCGUUGAACUUCGAGAAGCCCUCUUCUUUUCCUCAACAUCUUCGGUGAAAUUUAGUUCAACACAGAUAAACUUAUUGCUUUCUUUGUUCUCUCGAUGAACUUGGAAGAGGUCAUGAUCAGGGUGGCCAGGUUUACCCGGAAGUGGACAGAAAGAAAGCUAUCUCCGAAAGGCCGGACCGAAGUAGCGAAUGCAUGCAUCGCCGUCAUACCUUGUCCCAAGAAAACACUGACCAGACUGGAGCGCUCGCUUUUACGAUUAUUAUGGAUCAGGUUCCGCUGGUCGGAAAAUCCAUCGGCUGUCAACAUCCACUCUGUGGCGAUCUUGGGGUGCCAUCCUUGUUAGUGUGGCUCCACGCGUUGAGGCUGGCGCACCUCCAGAAAUAUCGAAAUCACUGCGAUUGUGCGAACGACCGUCUGAGAGGUCUGAGACCAAGCCCUCGUCUAUUUCUUCAAAUAUCAUUUGAAGAGGACGGUGAGGGUAGAGAGGGAAGUGCUGCCUUCUGGUGUGUUUAUUAAAAGGUGGACGAGAGUGGCAAGACUGGUGACACUGAACGGAUCAACUCUGAGUUUGCUUUUCUAAAUAGGAAGAAAGAAACUGGAAGCUGACACUUCCCAUGCCUUGGGGAUGGCAGCGAAAGUGGACUGCCCCACUAUUGGGGGAUUCUAUUUAUUUGUUUGUUUGUGUGUUUAUCUAUAUAUGUAUUUAUUCAUUUAUUAUUUCUCUAGCUUCUAUUCAUAUAUCCUAUGUUAUAAUCCUUUGAUCAAUGUAAACCACCUGUUUUUUGUGUGUUGCAUCUCGUCCUUUGAUAUUGUCCUCCAUGUUUUGGGCCCUAGUGGCCAAUAAAAGAAAGCACCACCAUCAAAACAAAACAUGUACCUAUCACUUCCAAUCAGUUCAGAUCAGAAGCCAUGAGAGCCAAUAUAUUAUUAUUAUUAUUAUUAUUAUUAUUAUUAUUAUUAUUUUGCACAGCGCUUUGGGAAAGUGCCUUCUACUACAGCCUGGACUGACCAAUGGCUUGUGAGUGAAUCUGGAAGACGGAAACUGCGUGGACGUGUGUGUGUGCGCACGGGCGUAUUUCUUUGUGUCUGUCGCCCCGGUGUUGCUUUGUUUACGUCCCCGUAGCUUAGCGAUUCAGCAAAAGAGAGUGAUAAAGUACUACACUUAAAAAAUAAGUACUGAGUCUACUUGCCGGACUAAACCUUUAUAGGUGGUGCCCCAGCAUGGCCGCAGUCUAAUGACUGAAACGGGUAAAAGAUAAAAGGUACACACACACACACACACAACGUGCUCUUUUGAAUCAUAAAGAUUUUUCUUUUACAGAACAAGUUCAAAUAUGUUGCCAUUGUUUAGAUUUAGGUCAGCGCUAACCUAGUAGACCAGUGAUCAAAGAUAUUCCAACCGUGACCACCUGGUUCACCUAUAAAUAACUACGAACAACAGGACUAUAUUCCUCCGAUAUUUCCCAUUCCGCAUUCCAGACGACAGAGUGUAACUUGAGGGAGAUCUGGCUACUACUUCUAGCAGGUUGAACCACAGUCUGCCAGAGGCUGCUUCGUUGGCUCCUAUUGAAAACAUAAAAAAGGAUUAGUGUAGGUAAUUAUAAAUUAUAAUCCUUAAUUACAAUCCGGACGGCGAACUGACACAAUCGCUAGUGUCGAACAAGACGCUUAGAUAGUAUUUUUUUUUCUGCCCCUUUACGUUUUGGUUUCAAAUCACACCGAGAUCACCUUUGCCUUUCAUCUCAAAGGGGUCAAUAAAAUAAAGUACCAGUUAUGUACUGGGUCGAUGUAAUCGACUCACCCACCACCUCCAAAUUUGCUGGCAUUGUUCCUAAAUUAGAAGCCAUUAUAUAAGUCAGCCGUCUGCUAUGCGUUUUACUCAUUUCCGAAGAAUUCCGAACAUCGAGUUUUAGACAGCGAGAAUCAUGUUGUGUUUUUAGGCCCCUAAUCCGCUCUGAUUACAGCGAAGUUCCAUAAUGAAAGACAAACCCAUGGCGUGGACAUCCCGUCCUUUUGUGAAUUCAAUCUCUCUUUCCUUUUGUUAUAUUCUUUUUAGGACGAUAGGAUGUGAUUUGAGGGAUAUUUGACUACUAUUUCUAACAGAUCGAGCAACCGCGUAGAGGCUCCCCAGUUGGUUCGUAAAUUAAUAUAUUAAAUUUUAGCUGUCGGCUUCGUCCAAGAUCAUCAUAGCCCUCCCUCACUUGUAAUUCAGAAUUCAAGGGCAGGACAAAUGAACGAUAAGAAGAAAUAGCAUGGACUGUUGUCUGUUUUUGUUUUUGUUUUUAUCUUGUCUGUCUUUUGUCCGAUAGUUUAAAGUCUUGCGAUCGAAUCCGACUUGUACUUGUCCAUGAAAUUAGACAAAAAAGAUAAUAAUAAUAAUAAUAAUAAUAUGUAUUAUUUCUGCUUUGACAUUUCUCUAAUUUUAAACAACAUCGAUUCAGGAAGGAAGGUAGCGAAGAAGGGUAUUGAAGUUUGCCGUCCCCUUUUACACACAGACACGACCUUUGUAGCCGACUUAAAUAAAAACAUGACGUUGUUGUUAUUAGUUCGCUUUUUUAAACAAUCGCAGUUAUUCAAGUUUGGUUAAAAGUAGUAAUGAAUAAAUUAAAUGAAGAUAUAUAAAAAUUAAUUCUAAACAGAAAUUUACUGCAUUCCUUCAAUCUGCAUGACUCAUCUAUCGUAUCCAGCUGAAAUUCGCGACUUUAAAAAAAAUAAUAUUUAUAUAAUGUAUCUUCACAUAGUUUCCAUAACCUCCAUGAAUUUAUAAUUAUCAACUAUAUUAAUUGUACAAAUUGUGUCACGAUUUAUUUACUAAUUUUAAUAAGUUUAAAUUCCCAUUUUUAUUGUUAGAUUUUUAUUUCCCAUAUUUUCUUUUCCGUUUAUUUAUUAUUUUUUUCCCCCAUUCUUUUCAGAUGAAAAUAAUUUAACUUAAUUACAACAAAGAGAAAAUGAGAGCAAAAUGAGAAAGAAUGUUAAUAAUAUUUCAUUUAAAUGGGAACUUUGAACGUUUAACGGAGGUUAAUAAAAUAAAAGUGUUCGAAAGGAGAAUGACACAAAAAUUAUUGAUUGUUAUUAAAAAGAAGGAAAAAGUAGGUAAGAAGUACGAUAAAAAGAAAAAACAUUGAAAAACCAGGAAGAGAGAGAAAUAUAGAAUGAGGGAGAAUACACGAGAAAGAAAGGGUCAGACUGAUAGUGAGGUAAAAAGAGAAAGAAAGAAAGAUAAACGCGAAGGUGAGUAAGAGUAAGAGGAUGGAAAGAAUAAGAGAGUAGAAAAUAGAAAGAGGAAGAGGAAGAGUGUAGAAAAAUAAGGAAGAGAAAGAUAGGAUAGAGGUGGGAGGAGAGAAAGAAUAGAAGAAUAAAGGAGUGAAAAAGAGAGGGUAACAAAAAUGAGACCGAGUAAGGUGGCAGGAGGAGCAAUAGAGUAGGAGAGAUAAUCGGGUAAGAAAGAGAAAGAGUGGCGAAAUAAACGGAGUGAGGCAGCGGUAGGAGCAAUAAAGUAUGAGAAAAAGAAAAGGUAUAAAAAAAAUGGAGGCCGAGUGAGGUAGCAGGAGGAGUAAAAUAGUAUGAAGAAUAAGGGGGGAGAGCAAAAUUGUAGUGAGUAAGGGAGUAGGAGGAGAAAUAACCGGGUGAGAAAGAGAAAGGGUAGAAAAAUCGACAGAGUGGGACAGCGAAAGGAGUAAUAGAGUAAGAGAAAUAAGGGGAUGAGAAAGGGGAAAGGUAGCAAAGUUGAGAGUAAGUGAAGUAGCAGGAGGCGAAUAAGAGAAAAAGAGAAAGGGUGGCAAAAUUGAGUAAAGGGGCGAGAGCAAUAGAGUAAGAGGAAUAAAGGGUGAGAAAAAAGAAAAAAAGUAAAAAAUAUAAAAGUAGAACAAAAAAAACCCCGGCCAGACCGAGGGAAGUAUAGGAGAGAAGGAGAGAGGAGGAGUAAAGAAGAAGAAAGAAGAAGAAGGAGGAGGAGGGUGUGUAAUUGUUAGACAGGUGCUCAUCCAUUGAAGAUCGCGUAGAAAACCGAGAGCAAUGGCGGUAGUUGUUAGCUGGUAGCAGUGGAAGGUUGUUUGUUGUUAUUAUUAUUUUUAUACUGUAUUAGUAGUAGUAGUGAACUGUUGUUUUUAGUAGGCCAACCAACCAGCCAACUAGCCAGUCUACUAUUGGACACUGUGAAGAUCUUGAAGAACUGUUAUUCUCCAGAUGGAUAUUGGUAAUUGAGCCUUCUGUUUGGUUCCCUAUUGAAUCUAGAGAAUCUCUGCAACUAAGAAACUAAACUAAACUGCAGUGUAUAUAUAUAUAUAUAUAUAUAUAUAUAUAUAUAUAUA
Octopus bimaculoides (California two-spot octopus) is the source of this 5985-nucleotide long non-coding RNA. The record is from RefSeq and is a predicted model, not a curated record. Lineage: Eukaryota; Metazoa; Mollusca; Cephalopoda; Octopoda; Octopodidae.